Molecule: ribosomal RNA, 514 nt
Filed under: uncultured bacterium
Lineage: Bacteria
Description: bacterial SSU rRNA
Rfam family: Bacterial small subunit ribosomal RNA
Source: RNAcentral
GGCAACCCUGAUCCAGCCACGCCGCGUGGGUGAUGGAGGCCUUCGGGUCGUAAAGCCCUGUCAGAGGGGAAGAAACGGUCUUAAGUGAAUAACUUCGGGCCUUGACGGUACCCUCAAAGGAAGCAUCGGCUAACUACGUGCCAGCAGCCGCGGUAAGACGUAGGAUGCAAGCGUUGCUCGGAAUCACUGGGCGUAAAGGGCGUGUAGGCGGCUUAGCAAGUGGGAUGUGAAAGCCCCGGGCUCAACCCGGGAAGUGCAUUUCAAACUGCUUUGCUUGAGUCCGGAAGAGGGUGGUAGAAUUCCAGGUGGAACGGUGAAAUGUGUAGAUAUCUGGAGGAAUACCUGCGGCGAAGGCGGCCACCUGGUCCGGAACUGACGCUAAAAUGCUAAAGCGUGGGGAGCAAACAGGAUUAGAUACCCUGGUAGUCCACGCCCUAAACGGUGAGUACUCGGUGUUGGGGGUAUUGACCCCCUCAGUGCCUUAGCUAACGCGUUAAGUACUCCGCCUGGGGAC